This is a transfer RNA of Felis catus (domestic cat), 72 nucleotides long. It matches the Rfam family "tRNA". From Rfam's summary of the family: Transfer RNA (tRNA) molecules are approximately 80 nucleotides in length. Their secondary structure includes four short double-helical elements and three loops (D, anti-codon, and T loops). The record is from Rfam. NCBI's taxonomy places the organism in Eukaryota, Metazoa, Chordata, Mammalia, Carnivora, Felidae.
GUCUGGGUGGCUCAGUCGGUUGAGCAUCUGACUUCUGCUCAUAGUUUGUGAGUUCAAGCCCCGCAUCGGGCU